GGGGGGGAGGGGGGAGUCUAAAAUUCACUGGUCCAAGGUUACCUGCUGCUAAAGUCAAGAUUCCUAACCCUCUUCUCCAUUCCAGUGAUUUUAAAACCACAGUGGUGCCACACACACUUUUAUACAGAUCUCACUUUUAAAAUCUAUUUUUAAUUCCCUUUAAAACUGGACUUAAAGGCUUCAAACGAUAUACACCAAAGUCAGUACACUGGAGUGCACCACCAACUUCUUAACCUACUCUUGCCAGAAUAACCAACUAUGCAAAAUUUGGAAUAAAUCCAUUCCUGUGAAGUAGCCAGAGAUACAAAGCAAGCUGUUUAAAACAAAACAAUAACAGUAUCUAUUUAUCUGUGUAAAUCAGGAUUUUUUUUGACACUGGGCAAGUAUAACAAACUACAGAAAUAUACUGAAUGUUGGAUUCACCAUCAUUCUCACCAACUGAACUUUUUAAGUAAACGCUAUACGCUUGGAUUUGUAAGUGUUAUUGCAUAAGUGGGAUCCUGCAUUAUUAAAGCGUUCCACACUAGGAAAGGUGUGAAAACCACAGGUGCCUGUGAUCUGAGGCCUGUUAAAGGCCUGAACUGACACUGGUGUCUUUACCCAGAAUGCUGAUUUGAAGAAAAAUAUAUUAAGCAAACCACUAUCAAAAGUAAGGCUUCUCACAUUACAAAGCAAACAACGAGUAUGCUUCAGCCAUAAUUUUUAAACACAAAUUUACAUACCCCAGAGACCUUUUACUUACAACUUGAGGUCCUCAGACUUAUAAGAGUGAUGCUCCUCACCCCGGGAA
Molecule: long non-coding RNA, 790 nt
Filed under: Bos taurus (domestic cattle)
Lineage: Eukaryota; Metazoa; Chordata; Mammalia; Artiodactyla; Bovidae
Description: long non-coding RNA NONBTAT009166
Source: RNAcentral